GUAUGUCUGUGUGUGUGUGUGCAUGUCAGUAUGUCUGUGUGUGUAUGUCAGUAUGACAGACAUUCUGACAUACACACACAGACACACUGACAUACACAUACACACAC
This 107-nucleotide microRNA precursor is filed under the name Pelobates cultripes (western spadefoot toad). Lineage: Eukaryota; Metazoa; Chordata; Amphibia; Anura; Pelobatidae. The record is from RNAcentral.